RNAcentral lists this ribosomal RNA (448 nucleotides) under uncultured bacterium. RNAcentral describes it as "bacterial SSU rRNA". It matches the Rfam family "Bacterial small subunit ribosomal RNA", at positions 330 to 794 of the family's 1533-position model. The record is from RNAcentral.
CCCAGACUCCUACGGGAGGCAGCAGUGGGGAAUAUUGCACAAUGGGGGAAACCCUGAUGCAGCGACGCCGCGUGAGCGAGGAAGUAUUUCGGUAUGUAAAGCUCUGUCAGCAGGGAAGAAGAAUGACGGUACCUGAAGAAGAAGCACCGGCUAAAUACGUGCCAGCAGCCGCGGUAAUACGUAUGGUGCAAGCGUUAUCCGGAUUUACUGGGUGUAAAGGGAGCGCAGGCGGUUCUGCAAGUCUGAUGUGAAAGCCCGGGGCUCAACCGCGGGACUGCAUUGGAAACUGCGGGACUGGAGUGUCGGAGGGGUAAGCGGAAUUCCUGGUGUAGCGGUGAAAUGCGUAGAUAUUAGGAGGAACACCAGUGGCGAAGGCGGCCUGCUGGACGACAACUGACGGUGAGGCGCGAAAGCGUGGGGAGCAAACAGGAUUAGAUACCCCAGUAGU